GAGGGUAUAGCUCAGUGGUAGAGUGAGUGCUUAGGAUACACAGGGUCCUGGGUUCAAUCCCCAGCACCUCCA
Molecule: transfer RNA, 72 nt
Filed under: Camelus bactrianus (Bactrian camel)
Lineage: Eukaryota; Metazoa; Chordata; Mammalia; Artiodactyla; Camelidae
Also listed under: 2 other names
Rfam family: tRNA
About the family: Transfer RNA (tRNA) molecules are approximately 80 nucleotides in length.
Source: Rfam by way of RNAcentral